GAUGAACGCUGGCGGCGUGCCUAAUACAUGCAAGUCGAGCGAACAGACGAGGAGCUUGCUCCUCUGACGUUAGCGGCGGACGGGUGAGUAACACGUGGAUAACCUACCUAUAAGACUGGGAUAACUUCGGGAAACCGGAGCUAAUACCGGAUAAUAUAUUGAACCGCAUGGUUCAAUAGUGAAAGACGGUUUUGCGGUCACUUAUAGAUGGAUCCGCGCCGCAUUAGCUAGUUGGUAAGGUAACGGCUUACCAAGGCGACGAUGCGUAGCCGACCUGAGAGGGUGAUCGGCCACCCUGGAACUGGGCCACGGUCCAGACUCCUACGGGACGCCCCAGUCGGCAAUCUUCCGCAGUGGGCGAAAGCCUGACGGAGCAACGCCGCGUGAGUGAUGACGGUCUUCGGAUCGUAAAACUCUGUUAUUAGGGAAGAACAAAUGUGUAAGUAACUAUGCACGUCUUGACGGUACCUAAUCAGAAAGCCACGGCUAACUACGUG
This 497-nucleotide ribosomal RNA is filed under the name uncultured bacterium. RNAcentral's name for it is "partial 16S ribosomal RNA". It matches the Rfam family "Bacterial small subunit ribosomal RNA", at positions 28 to 507 of the family's 1533-position model. The record is from RNAcentral.